This 497-nucleotide ribosomal RNA is filed under the name uncultured bacterium. RNAcentral's name for it is "partial 16S ribosomal RNA". It matches the Rfam family "Bacterial small subunit ribosomal RNA", at positions 28 to 507 of the family's 1533-position model. The record is from RNAcentral.
GAUGAACGCUGGCGGCGUGCCUAAUACAUGCAAGUCGAGCGAACAGACGAGGAGCUUGCUCCUCUGACGUUAGCGGCGGACGGGUGAGUAACACGUGGAUAACCUACCUAUAAGACUGGGAUAACUUCGGGAAACCGGAGCUAAUACCGGAUAAUAUAUUGAACCGCAUGGUUCAAUCGUGAAAUACGGUUUUGCUUUCACUUAUAGCUUGAUCCGCGCCGCAUUAGCUAGUUGGUAAGGUAACUGCUUACCAAGGCAACGAUGCGUACCCGACCUGAGAGGGUGAUCGGCCACACUGGAACUGAGACACGGUCCAGACUCCUACGGGAGGCAGCAGUAGGGAAUCUUCCGCAAUGGGCGAAAGCCUGACGGAGCAACGCCGCGUGAGUGAUGAAGGUCUUCGGAUCGUAAAACUCUGUUAUUAGGGAAGAACAAAUGUGUAAGUAACUAUGCACGUCUUGACGGUACCGAAUCAGAAAGCCACGGCUAACUACGUG